RNAcentral lists this unclassified non-coding RNA (438 nucleotides) under uncultured Tremellomycetes. RNAcentral's name for it is "sequence contains 5.8S rRNA gene, ITS2, 28S rRNA gene". The stretch from base 1 to 154 matches the Rfam family "5.8S ribosomal RNA". The record is from RNAcentral. Lineage: Eukaryota; Fungi; Basidiomycota; Tremellomycetes.
AACUUUUAACAACGGAUCUCUUGGCUCUCGCAUCGAUGAAGAACGCAGCGAAAUGCGAUAAGUAAUGUGAAUUGCAGAAUUCAGUGAAUCAUCGAAUCUUUGAACGCACCUUGCGCCCUUUGGUAUUCCGAAGGGCAUGCCUGUUUGAGUGUCAUGAAAUCUCAACUACCAGGGUUUCCUGGUAAGCUUGGAUUUGGGUGUCUGCCUUGCACAGAGGCUCAUCUUAAAAGUGUUAGCGUGUCCGAUCAGUGAUAUUGUCUGGCGUAAUAAGUUUCGCUGGGCUAGCUGAGAAGCGUGCUUCUAAUCUGUCUUUUGGGACAACUUUUCUUGACUUCUGACCUCAAAUCAGGUAGGGCUACCCGCUGAACUUAAGCAUAUCAAUAAGCGGAGGAAAAGAAACUAACCAGGAUUCCCUUAGUAACGGCGAGUGAACCGGGA